This 200-nucleotide long non-coding RNA is filed under the name Panax ginseng (ginseng). Its description in RNAcentral is "long non-coding RNA (PGIN_LNC007670)". Lineage: Eukaryota; Viridiplantae; Streptophyta; Magnoliopsida; Apiales; Araliaceae. The record is from RNAcentral.
AGUAAUUCAGUUUGUAUAACUACAAUUCAUCAAACAUGCAAUUUACAAAAAAUUUUGAAAGUGAAGAACAUGAACUCUUUUUAUAAACAUACAACUCAAGGUUGAGAGGUUAUACCUUCAAUUUCUUGGAGAUAAUCCUUGAUAAACACAGUGAAUUGCCUUGGAAUCACAAAAAUUUUCUUUCAAGUUUUUUCUCAAAC